CCUACGGGAGGCAGCAGUGGGGAAUUUUGGACAAUGGGCGAAAGCCUGAUCCAGCAAUGCCGCGUGUGUGAAGAAGGCCUUCGGGUUGUAAAGCACUUUUGUCCGGAAAGAAAUCCUUGGCUCUAAUACAGUCGGGGGAUGACGGUACCGGAAGAAUAAGCACCGGCUAACUACGUGCCAGCAGCCGCGGUAAUACGUAGGGUGCGAGCGUUAAUCGGAAUUACUGGGCGUAAAGCGUGCGCAGGCGGUUUGCUAAGACCGAUGUGAAAUCCCCGGGCUCAACCUGGGAACUGCAUUGGUGACUGGCAGGCUAGAGUAUGGCAGAGGGGGGUAGAAUUCCACGUGUAGCAGUGAAAUGCGUAGAGAUGUGGAGGAAUACCGAUGGCGAAGGCAGCCCCCUGGGCCAAUACUGACGCUCAUGCACGAAAGCGUGGGGAGCAAACAGGAUUAGAUACCCUGGUAGUCCACGCCCUAAACGAUGUCAACUAGUUGUUGGGGAUUCAUUUCCUUAGUAACGUAGCUAANGCGUGAAGUUGACCGCCUGGGGAGUACGGUCGCAAGA
This 562-nucleotide ribosomal RNA is filed under the name uncultured bacterium. RNAcentral describes it as "bacterial SSU rRNA". It matches the Rfam family "Bacterial small subunit ribosomal RNA", at positions 338 to 893 of the family's 1533-position model. The record is from RNAcentral.